Molecule: non-coding RNA, 46 nt
Organism: Apaloderma vittatum (bar-tailed trogon)
Lineage: Eukaryota; Metazoa; Chordata; Aves; Trogoniformes; Trogonidae
Source: Rfam
CAAAUGGUUUUUAUCAAAACCAUUUUUUAAAAAAAAAAAAGAAGAA